This 444-nucleotide ribosomal RNA is filed under the name uncultured bacterium. RNAcentral's name for it is "SSU rRNA". It matches the Rfam family "Bacterial small subunit ribosomal RNA", at positions 26 to 518 of the family's 1533-position model. The record is from RNAcentral.
AGAGCGAACGCUGGCGGCAGGCCUAACACAUGCAAGUCGAGCGCCCCGCAAGGGGAGCGGCAGACGGGAGAGUAACACGUGGGAACGUACCCUUUGGUUCGGAACAACACAGGGAAACUUGUGCUAAUACCGGAUAAGCCCUUACGGGGAAAGAUUUAUUGCCAAAGGAUCGGCCCGCGUCUGAUUAGCUUGUUGGUGAGGUAACGGCUCACCAAGGCUACGAUCAGUAGCUGGUCUGAGAGGAUGAUCAGCCUCACUGGGACUGAGACACGGCCCAGACUCCUACGGGAGGCAGCAGCGGGGAAUAUUGGACAAUGGGCGCAAGCCUGAUCCAGCCAUGCCGCGUGGAUGAUGAAGGCCCUAGGGUUGUAAAGCUCUUUUGUGCGGGAAGAUAAUGACGGUACCGCAAGAAUAAGCCCCGGCUAACUUCGUGCCAGCAGCCGC